RNAcentral lists this long non-coding RNA (922 nucleotides) under Astyanax mexicanus (Mexican tetra). RNAcentral describes it as "lncRNA (ENSAMXG00005006892.1)". The record is from RNAcentral. Lineage: Eukaryota; Metazoa; Chordata; Actinopteri; Characiformes; Acestrorhamphidae.
CUGCAGUCAGAUCUGUGGUGGGACCCUCUGACGACUGUUCACAAAAACUGGUAAGUUCUGUUACCAUUGUUACCUAAUCAGACUCUCCAACUAAACAGGCUCUCUAAGCACACAUAUAAUCUAACCAGUCUCACUAACCACACAUUUCUCUUUCUAUUGUGCUUUUUUUUUCUUCUGUGUGUAUUUGUGACGGAGUUCCAGCUCUGCAUUGAACGGUCAGAUGUGACCGGUGUGGUUGGGUUGUCUAAAGACUGUUUACAAAAACUGCUCUGCAGUGAACAGUCAGAUCUGUGGUGGGACCCUCUGACGAAUGUUCACAAAAACUGCUCUGCAGUGAACAGUCAGAUCUGUGCUUGGGUUGUCUAAAGACUGUUUACAAAAACUGCGUCUUUGCCUGUGCCGCCAAUUGGAGGCAUGGCAUUUCUUCACUAUGCCUCUAUGGAAUCCAGCGGCUCCCAGUGCAAUUAAUAGCUAAAUCCAGAGCUGGCUGUAUGGAGCUGCAGGGCUGUGCAGGGCCGCCAGGAGGCGCUGCUGCUUCUGAUUUAGUCAGGGCUGAUUCAGCUGUGGGCUCAGCGAGCACUGAUGCUCACCUCCUCACACUGCAAUACUCCAAAGAAUACUUUACAUAACAUGUUACUACUAAAAUUAUUAAACACUAACACAUUACUGUCCCUUCACAGAAGGAGGAGGUUAUCUUUUUCUUUUUUCUCCACAUAGUUAUUGUUAAUAAUAAUAAUAAUAAUAAUAAUAAUAAUAAUAAUUUUUAUUAUUAUUAUAUUAUUAUUACUACUAUUAUCAUCAUCAUACUGUGAAUCUCACACCUAUUCUCCAGUCUUCUGGAUGUCCAGUCAUGUUCAUCAUUUCCCACUCAUUCAUCACCUGUGAUCAGGUAAUAAAGAAGUUAUUAAGCAAGAAGUUAUCA